CCUGCAUAUUGUUAGAGCUUGGAGUUGAGGUUGGUUGGCCAAUGAACUCACAAGUGUAGGUAGUGUACUACAUGAGGGGCAAGUCUUUGGCUAAUGCCACGAGUGUCUCUGGCCCGAUGAGUGGAGUUUGGUAGUAAUUCUUGCUACAAUU
This is a small nucleolar RNA of Zalophus californianus (California sea lion), 151 nucleotides long. Lineage: Eukaryota; Metazoa; Chordata; Mammalia; Carnivora; Otariidae. The record is from Ensembl.